This is a non-coding RNA of Parasteatoda tepidariorum (common house spider), 950 nucleotides long. NCBI's taxonomy places the organism in Eukaryota, Metazoa, Arthropoda, Arachnida, Araneae, Theridiidae. The record is from RefSeq and is a predicted model, not a curated record.
UUGCUUAUUUCUUCUGUCGCCUUUACUCUUUUUACUAGGGGAUUCCAUGGUGACAUAUUUAACUGUUUUCUUAAAUGUUUAACCUUAUUGAGAUAUUGAUGUUGUCGCAGAUGAAUGUAUUAGCAAAGAUGGCAUUCAUUAAAACUGACAGGACAAUAUUCAGUCUGUGAAGAAUGCAUGACAAAGUUGCUAAAAAGAAAGUGUAUGUAUACACGACUUUAUGUUUACUUAUAUAUAUGUUAACUAGAUUCAUGAAAACAUUGUACUCUUGUCUUGACAUUUAAGCCUGAUCACCACAACUCAGCCCAUUCAAACAAGAGAGAGUAGUCAAAGAACUGCAUCAGACUUAGCACUUUGAUGCUGUAAGGAAAAAUAUUCAGUAGAAAGUGUUUUUUUCCCUGAUAUUCUUCUUUGUACUACUUUACACAAUGGAGAAAAAUGUUUAGAGGCAAUAGAAUGUUAUGAGUUAAUUUAAGUACUAAUUCUCACAACGGUUGUGGUUCUGCCCCUGAGGGACAGAGGGAAGAUCGCUAAGAACAUUGCCCCUGAAUUAUAAAUACUCUUUCACUUUAAAUAUAUUUGGUAUAUACAAAGUAACAUUAUACAAAACUAAGUAGAGAGAUUACUGUAAUAAAAAUUUGUCUAUUGCACAGAGAUUCAUCUAAUUUUAUUCUUUUUUUAGCUUAAAUGACAGACAGAUUAAGAGGAGCCAAUACGAGUAUUUCACCAUCAGUCUGUUACUGUCUGAUCGGAAAAACCAGAAUUAAGUUUGCAAGUUGUGUGGUAUAAGAGACAGUCUAAAAGAAAUAUGAGCUGGCUAACCAGACGAUAGUUAUAAAGAAGACUUUUAGCUGCUCCUUUCCUCAGGAUGACCUUAUAUGAUGGCACCAGCAAGCACCUUCAUAGAGUCAAGCUGGCUACCAAUACUCUUGUCUAUUGUAUAAGAACAA